UUCGCAAUGCCCGAAAGGGUGACGAAGCGACGCCGCGUGCGGGAAGAAGGCCUUCGGGUUGUAAACCGCUGUCGGGAGUUAAGAAAUGUAAGGAUGUUAAUAGCAUCUUUGCUUGACUAAGGCUCCGGAGGAAGCCACGGCUAACUCUGUGCCAGCAGCCGCGGUAAUACAGAGGCGGCAAGCGUUGUUCGGAAUUAUUGGGCGUAAAGAGCACGUAGGCGGCUAUGUAAGUCGGUUGUGAAAGCCUUCCGCUCAACGGGAGAACAGCAUCCGAUACUGCAUGGCAUGAGUGCGGGAGGGGAGAGUGGAACUUCUGGUGGAGCGGUGAAAUGCGUAGAUAUCAGAAGGAACGCCGGCGGCGAAAGCGGCUCUCUGGCCCAUAACUGACGCUGAGUGUGCGAAAGCUAGGGGAGCAAAGGGGAUUAGAUACCCCGGUAGUCCUAGCCGUAAACGAUGGGCACUAAGUAGAGGGGUUUU
This 477-nucleotide ribosomal RNA is filed under the name uncultured Planctomycetales bacterium. Its description in RNAcentral is "bacterial SSU rRNA". It matches the Rfam family "Bacterial small subunit ribosomal RNA", at positions 365 to 832 of the family's 1533-position model. Lineage: Bacteria; Pseudomonadati; Planctomycetota; Planctomycetia; Planctomycetales. The record is from RNAcentral.